This 73-nucleotide transfer RNA is filed under the name Canis lupus familiaris (dog). It matches the Rfam family "tRNA". From Rfam's summary of the family: Transfer RNA (tRNA) molecules are approximately 80 nucleotides in length. RNAcentral also lists the same sequence under 1 other name. The record is from Rfam by way of RNAcentral. Lineage: Eukaryota; Metazoa; Chordata; Mammalia; Carnivora; Canidae.
ACCUGGCUGGCUCAGUUGGUAAAGUAUGCAACUUUUGAUCUCAGGGUUGUGGGUUCAAGCCCCAAGCUGGGUG